Molecule: ribosomal RNA, 404 nt
Filed under: Actinomycetes bacterium
Lineage: Bacteria; Bacillati; Actinomycetota; Actinomycetes
Description: Actinobacteria bacterium partial 16S ribosomal RNA
Rfam family: Bacterial small subunit ribosomal RNA
Source: RNAcentral
UGGGGAAUAUUGGACAAUGGGCGCAAGCCUGAUCCAGCCAUGCCGCGUGAGUGAUGAAGGCCCUAGGGUUGUAAAGCUCUUUCACCGGUGAAGAUAAUGACGGUAACCGGAGAAGAAGCCCCGGCUAACUUCGUGCCAGCAGCCGCGGUAAUACGAAGGGGGCUAGCGUUGUUCGGAUUUACUGGGCGUAAAGCGCACGUAGGCGGACUUUUAAGUCAGGGGUGAAAUCCCGGGGCUCAACCCCGGAACUGCCUUUGAUACUGGAAGUCUUGAGUAUGGUAGAGGUGAGUGGAAAUCCGAGUGUAGAGGUGGAAUUCGUAGAUAUUCGGAGGAACACCAGUGGCGAAGGCGGCUCACUGGACCAUUACUGACGCUGAGGUGCGAAAGCGUGGGGAGCAAACAGG